This 209-nucleotide ribosomal RNA is filed under the name uncultured Enterobacter sp. Its description in RNAcentral is "partial 16S ribosomal RNA". It matches the Rfam family "Bacterial small subunit ribosomal RNA", at positions 324 to 525 of the family's 1533-position model. Lineage: Bacteria; Pseudomonadati; Pseudomonadota; Gammaproteobacteria; Enterobacterales; Enterobacteriaceae. The record is from RNAcentral.
CCGCGCGCGGCGGGCCUACGGGAGGCAGCAGUGGGGAAUAUUGCACAAUGGGCGCAAGCCUGAUGCAGCCAUGCCGCGUGUAUGAAGAAGGCCUUCGGGUUGUAAAGUACUUUCAGCGGGGAGGAAGGUGUUGAGGUUAAUAACCUCAGCAAUUGACGUUACCCGCAGAAGAAGCACCGGCUAACUCCGUGCCAGCAGCCGCGGUAAUA